UGCAGGAUGCUUUGACCCUGGUAAUCCAGGAUUCAAAAUCUUGUUGGUUUUUCAUUCUAGCCAUUAGAUCUGGGACUGUUUCACAUCUGGUGAAGGUAAAAGACGGAAGCAGGAAACAAGCUAAAAAUAACUAUUUAUGCAGUAUGCAGUCUGUGAUCCGUGAUCCAUAAAUGUAAGGGAAAAACAAAAUCACAGCAGCUGUGUAAUAUCCAGGACUCGCAUACCUUGGUGGAUCCCUUGUUAGCCACCCUUUGGUCAGUGCCAUUUUACAUGCAGCCAGCAGCACAGCAAUCCCAAAAUAUAUGGUGUGCUGCUUCAUAGCCACAGUUCCUCCAAUAUUCGAAGCCUCCAUCAUCAUAGUGUGCUGC
Oreochromis aureus is the source of this 368-nucleotide long non-coding RNA. RefSeq lists it as uncharacterized. The transcript is spliced from 3 exons. The record is from RefSeq and is a predicted model, not a curated record. Lineage: Eukaryota; Metazoa; Chordata; Actinopteri; Cichliformes; Cichlidae.